Long non-coding RNA from Sebastes umbrosus (honeycomb rockfish), 918 nucleotides. RefSeq lists it as uncharacterized. The record is from RefSeq and is a predicted model, not a curated record. The transcript is spliced from 3 exons. Lineage: Eukaryota; Metazoa; Chordata; Actinopteri; Perciformes; Sebastidae.
AGAGGUGUUUAAUGAGUGAUGCAGGAUGCACAGCAGUGGUCCAGUCAGUCAGAGGAGCAGGUGAGGAGGAUGGAGAUAGUAGUGUAGAGGAGGUGUGCUGCUGCUGGUGCAUGGUGCUGCUGGUGUGGGAUGGCAUUUGUAAACAUGCUGAUGAGGAAGGAUGUGGUGGCAUUUUAUUUAUGGUGUUUUUAACAUGGACUUUGGUGCAGGUCAGGAGGUGUGGUGGUAUUUUAUGGUGUUUUUAACAUGCAGUUUGGUGCAGGUCAGGAGGUGUGGUGCUAAUGUUAGAUGUGGUAUUUUAUGGUGUUUUUAACAUGUAGUUUGGUGCAGGUUAGGUGGUAUUUUAUGGUGUUUUUAACAUGGAGUUUGGUGCAGGUCAGGUGGUAUUUUAUGGUGUUUAUAACAUGGAGUUUGAUGCAGGUCAGGUGGUAUUUUAUGGUGUUUUUAACAUGUAGUUUGGUGCAGGUUAGGUGGUAUUUUAUGGUGUUUUUAACAUGGAGUUUGAUGCAGGUCAGGUGGUAUUUUAUGGUGUUUAUAACAUGGAGUUUGAUGCAGGUCAGGUGGUAUUUUAUGGUGUUUUUAACAUGUAGUUUGGUGCAGGUCAGGUGGUAUUUUAUGGUGUUUUUAACAUGUAGUUUGGUGCAGGUCAGGUGGUAUUUUAUGGUGUUUUUAACAUGUAGUUUGGUGCAGGUCAGGAGGUAUUUUAUGGUGUUUUUAACAUGGAGUUUGGUGCAGGUCAGGAGGUAUUUUAUGGUGUUUUUAACAUGGAGUUUGGUGCAGGUCAGGAGGUGUGGUGCUAAUGUUAGAUGUGGUAUUUUAUGGUGUUUUUAACAUGGAGUUUGGUGCAGGUCAGGUGGUAUUCUAUGGUGUUUUUAACAUGUAGUUUGGUGCAGGUCAGGAGGUGUGGUGCUAAUGUUA